GACGAACCGUGCGAACGUUGUUCGGAUUCACUGGGCUUAAAGGGCGCGUAGGCGGGUGCCUCCGUCCGGAGUGAAAGCCCCCGGCUCAACCGGGGAAGCGCUUCGGAUACCGGGCACCUCGAGGGGGGUAGGGGCACGCGGAACUUCCGGUGGAGCGGUGAAAUGCGUAGAGAUCGGAAGGAACGCCGGCGGCGAAAGCGGCGUGCUGGGCCCCCCUCGA
Molecule: ribosomal RNA, 220 nt
Filed under: uncultured bacterium
Lineage: Bacteria
Description: partial 16S ribosomal RNA
Rfam family: Bacterial small subunit ribosomal RNA
Source: RNAcentral